RNAcentral lists this ribosomal RNA (292 nucleotides) under uncultured bacterium. RNAcentral's name for it is "partial 16S ribosomal RNA". The record is from RNAcentral. RNAcentral also lists the same sequence under 1 other name.
GGACUACCCGGGUAUCUAAUCCCGUUUGCUCCCCUGGCCUUCGCGCCUCAGCGUCAGGAACUGUCCAGAGACCCGCCUUCGCCACUGGUCUUCCUCACGAUCUCUACGCAUUUCACUGCUACACCGUGAAUUCCAGUCUCCUCUCCAGUCCUCGAGCAGAGCAGUAUCGAGUGCAGUUUCAGAGUUGAGCUCUGAGAUUUCACACCCGACUUACCCCGCAGCCUACGCGCCCUUUACGCCCAAUGAAUCCGAACAACGCUUGAGACCUCUGUAUUACCGCGGCGGCUGGCAC